This is a non-coding RNA of Cinara cedri, 205 nucleotides long. NCBI's taxonomy places the organism in Eukaryota, Metazoa, Arthropoda, Insecta, Hemiptera, Aphididae. The record is from the annotation of a GenBank genome assembly.
AGAAACCAGUCAAUUCGGCGUUUUCAAACUAUUACGCGAGGUCGGAUCGCACUAUUAUAAUAUUGUCGUUGUGAUUAUUACACAAAGACGAAUAUUAUUGUAUUAUUAUUAUUAUUAUCAUUGUUAUACGAGCGUUACGUGCGUGCCUUAGAAUAUCCGGAGUAUUGUCUUAAAACAUCAUCCUCGCGUUCUAAAUGCGGGGGUG